UGGGGAAUUUUGGACAAUGGGCGAAAGCCUGAUCCAGCAAUGCCGCGUGUGUGAAGAGGGCCUUCGGGUUGUAAAGCACUUUUGUCCGGAAAGAAAUCCUUGGCUCUAAUACAGUCGGGGGAUGACGGUACCGGAAGAAUAAGCACCGGCUAACUACGUGCCAGCAGCCGCGGUAAUACGUAGGGUGCAAGCGUUAAUCGGAAUUACUGGGCGUAAAGCGUGCGCAGGCGGUUUGCUAAGACCGAUGUGAAAUCCCCGGGCUCAACCUGGGAACUGCAUUGGUGACUGGCAGGCUAGAGUAUGGCAGAGGGGGGUAGAAUUCCACGUGUAGCGGUGAAAUGCGUAGAGAUCUGGAGGAAUACCGGUGGCGAAGGCGGCCCCCUGGACGAAGACUGACGCUCAGGUGCGAAAGCGUGGGGCAGCAAACAGGAUUAGAUACCCUGGUAGUCCACGCCCUAAACGAUGUCAACUAGUUGUUGGGGAUUCAUUUCCUUAGUAACGUAGCUAACGCGUGAAGUUGACCGCCUGGGGAGUACGGUCGCAAGAUUAAAACUUAAAGGAAUUGACGGGGU
This 572-nucleotide ribosomal RNA is filed under the name uncultured bacterium. RNAcentral describes it as "partial 16S ribosomal RNA". It matches the Rfam family "Bacterial small subunit ribosomal RNA", at positions 355 to 919 of the family's 1533-position model. The record is from RNAcentral.